This is a ribosomal RNA of Gorilla gorilla gorilla (western lowland gorilla), 98 nucleotides long. NCBI's taxonomy places the organism in Eukaryota, Metazoa, Chordata, Mammalia, Primates, Hominidae. The record is from Ensembl.
CUCUAUGGCCAUACCACUCUGAAUGACCCCAAUCUUAUCUGAUCUCAGAAGCUAAGCAGGGUUAGGUCUGGGGGCCUGCUUAAUACUUGGAUGAGAGA